AUGUUACAUGAAAGGAAAGAAUAGGACUCCCUCCACAAGGAUGGAAGAGGCUCUCAGGCCUACAACACACAUAUGGGUGAGGCAUUACCUCCUACCUUGUGGCAUGGCAUCUACCCUGGUUU
RNAcentral lists this non-coding RNA (122 nucleotides) under Castor canadensis (American beaver). The record is from RNAcentral. Lineage: Eukaryota; Metazoa; Chordata; Mammalia; Rodentia; Castoridae.